Leopardus geoffroyi (Geoffroy's cat) is the source of this 278-nucleotide long non-coding RNA. RefSeq lists it as uncharacterized. Lineage: Eukaryota; Metazoa; Chordata; Mammalia; Carnivora; Felidae. The record is from RefSeq and is a predicted model, not a curated record. The transcript is spliced from 2 exons.
UGGAAUAUACUUGUAAGAGAUUAUUACAUACGGAGUAUGAAGUGUAAAGAGUAAAAUGGUACAAUAAAGAAAAUAUGAAAGAAUACUAAGAUUUAUCUGAAUAACCCAAAAGAAGGCAGGAAAUGAGGAAUAAAAAACAGAUGGGUAAGCGAAAAAUAAUGAGGUGAUAGACUUGAACCCAGUCAUAUCAGUUAUUACAUUAAAGGUAAAUGAACUAAAUUAUUACAUGGAAAUGUACAACAGACAUCUUUUUUUUUUUUUUUUUAAAUCAGGGUCAA